This 1346-nucleotide ribosomal RNA is filed under the name uncultured bacterium. RNAcentral's name for it is "partial 16S ribosomal RNA". It matches the Rfam family "Bacterial small subunit ribosomal RNA", at positions 28 to 1381 of the family's 1533-position model. The record is from RNAcentral.
GACGAACGUUGGCGGCGUGCUUAACACAUGCAAGUCGAACGGAAAGGCCCUGCUUUUGUGGGGUGCUCGAGUGGCGAACGGGUGAGUAACACGUGAGUAACCUGCCCUUGACUUUGGGAUAACUUCAGGAAACUGGGGCUAAUACCGGAUAGGAGCUCCUGCUGCAUGGUGGGGGUCGGAAAGUUUCGGCGGUUGGGGAUGGACUCGCGGCUUAUCAGCUUGUUGGUGGGGUAGUGGCUUACCAAGGCUUUGACGGGUAGCCGGCCUGAGAGGGUGACCGGCCACAUUGGGACUGAGAUACGGCCCAGACUCCUACGGGAGGCAGCAGUGGGGAAUAUUGCACAAUGGGCGGAAGCCUGAUGCAGCAACGCCGCGUGCGGGAUGACGGCCUUCGGGUUGUAAACCGCUUUCGCCUGUGACGAAGCGUGAGUGACGGUAAUGGGUAAAGAAGCACCGGCUAACUACGUGCCAGCAGCCGCGGUGAUACGUAGGGUGCGAGCGUUGUCCGGAUUUAUUGGGCGUAAAGGGCUCGUAGGUGGUUGAUCGCGUCGGAAGUGUAAUCUUGGGGCUUAACCCUGAGCGUGCUUUCGAUACGGGUUGACUUGAGGAAGGUAGGGGAGAAUGGAAUUCCUGGUGGAGCGGUGGAAUGCGCAGAUAUCAGGAGGAACACCAGUGGCGAAGGCGGUUCUCUGGGCCUUUCCUGACGCUGAGGAGCGAAAGCGUGGGGAGCGAACAGGCUUAGAUACCCUGGUAGUCCACGCUGUAAACGGUGGGUACUAGGUGUGGGGUCCAUUCCACGGGUUCCGUGCCGUAGCUAACGCUUUAAGUACCCCGCCUGGGGAGUACGGCCGCAAGGCUAAAACUCAAAGGAAUUGACGGGGCCCCGCACAAGCGGCGGAGCAUGCGGAUUAAUUCGAUGCAACGCGUAGAACCUUACCUGGGUUUGACAUGGAUCGGGAGUGCUCAGAGAUGGGUGUGCCUCUUUUGGGGUCGGUUCACAGGUGGUGCAUGGCUGUCGUCAGCUCGUGUCGUGAGAUGUUGGGUUAAGUCCCGCAACGAGCGCAACCCUUGUUCACUGUUGCCAGCACGUUAUGGUGGGGACUCAGUGGAGACCGCCGGGGUCAACUCGGAGGAAGGUGGGGAUGACGUCAAGUCAUCAUGCCCCUUAUGUCCAGGGCUUCACGCAUGCUACAAUGGCUGGUACAGAGAGUGGCGAGCCUGUGAGGGUGAGCGAAUCUCGGAAAGCCGGUCUCAGUUCGGAUUGGGGUCUGCAACUCGACCUCAUGAAGUCGGAGUCGCUAGUAAUCGCAGAUCAGCAACGCUGCGGUGAAUACGUUCCCGGGGCU